This 611-nucleotide ribosomal RNA is filed under the name uncultured Alphaproteobacteria bacterium. RNAcentral describes it as "bacterial SSU rRNA". It matches the Rfam family "Bacterial small subunit ribosomal RNA", at positions 48 to 705 of the family's 1533-position model. The record is from RNAcentral. Lineage: Bacteria; Pseudomonadati; Pseudomonadota; Alphaproteobacteria.
CUAAUACAUGCAAGUCGAACGAGAUCUUCGGAUCUAGUGGCGCACGGGUGCGUAACGCGUGGGAAUCUGCCCUUGGGUUCGGAAUAACGUCGGGAAACUGACGCUAAUACCGGAUGAUGACGAAAGUCCAAAGAUUUAUCGCCCAGGGAUGAGCCCGCGUAGGAUUAGCUAGUUGGUGGGGUAAAGGCUCACCAAGGCUACGAUCCUUAGCUGGUCUGAGAGGAUGAUCAGCCACACUGGGACUGAGACACGGCCCAGACUCCUACGGGAGGCAGCAGUAGGGAAUAUUGGACAAUGGGGGCAACCCUGAUCCAGCAAUGCCGCGUGAGUGAUGAAGGCCUUAGGGUUGUAAAGCUCUUUUACCCGAGAUGAUAAUGACAGUAUCGGGAGAAUAAGCUCCGGCUAACUCCGUGCCAGCAGCCGCGGUAAUACGGAGGGAGCUAGCGUUGUUCGGAAUUACUGGGCGUAAAGCGCACGUAGGCGGCGAUUUAAGUCAGAGGUGAAAGCCCGGGGCUCAACCCCGGAACUGCCUUUGAGACUGGAUUGCUAGAAUCUUGGAGAGGCGGGUGGAAUUCCGAGUGUAGAGGUGAAAUUCGUAGAUAUUCGGAAGA